This 527-nucleotide long non-coding RNA is filed under the name Calidris pygmaea (Spoon-billed sandpiper). RNAcentral's name for it is "lncRNA (ENSCPGG00000012276.1)". The record is from RNAcentral. Lineage: Eukaryota; Metazoa; Chordata; Aves; Charadriiformes; Scolopacidae.
CAUCACGAAGACGUCCCUAAGUGCUGGUGGCAGUUUUUUGUGGGGUUGCCUUCAGGAAACACCUUUCAAAGCCUAAAAUAGCCAGUGUUUAGACAAUUGAUGGAAUGAGAAUGCUUCAGACAGUGAAGGGAGGUGAUCAUAGAAUUAUGAUCCAGAAGAGAUACAGAUGUCACGAGUCAGCCUGUUUGGAGACAUCACCUGCAAUGAAUGAUUUCCAGAAACACUCACUUAGUGGAGUCAGGGAACAAUAAUGAAGGUUAACUGUCCAAAGGUUUUCAAAAAAGCUCUUAAUAUAUUACUCCAUGUUAAAAGUUGUCAGCACCAUUGGCAAGCAUUAAAGAUGAACAUGAAGGAGUUGUACUUUUCUGGAUGUGAUUAAUUUUGGCACAGUGCUUGUUCCCAUGGCUAAGCCCAGUGUGCACUGCUGUUCUUGUCAGGUUUGUUAUGUGUGUUUUCUCUUUCCAAGGUAUUAUGUCUUCACUGUGGAACAUUCAUCCAGACUCAGAUUUGGCAAACAGAGUCUGAAC